UUUUUUUUUCAGAACAUCAUUAUUUAGUGUUGAUAAUAAAUGAAUCAAAAAGCAUAAGUUUUUUAUUAUCAAUUUUUUAUAAUUGAGAUGAUAAGGAAACUUAUCAAAUGAUUUUAUACUCAUCAUCAAAUGGCUGAGGAUAUGACAAGUUAUAUAUGAUGAAAUCAGUAAGACAAAAGAAAGACUAGAUUCUUGGUAGUUC
Molecule: long non-coding RNA, 202 nt
Filed under: Musa acuminata (dwarf banana)
Lineage: Eukaryota; Viridiplantae; Streptophyta; Magnoliopsida; Zingiberales; Musaceae
Description: long non-coding RNA (MACU_LNC004609)
Source: RNAcentral